CAGCCGCCGCGGUAAGACGAACCGUGCGAACGUUAUUCGGAAUCACUGGGCUUAAAGCGCGUGUAGGCGGGCCGUCACGUCGGCUGCUGAAAUCCCCCAGCUCAACCGGGGAAGUGGCACCGAUACGAGCGGCCUUGAGGGGGGUAGGGGGGUCUGGAACUUCCGGUGUAGCGGUGAAAUGCGUAGAGAUGUGGAGGAACACCAGUGGCGAAGGCGACUCUCUGGUCUGUAACUGACGCUGAGGAGCGAAAGCGUGGGGAGCGAACAGGAUUAGAUACCCCAGUAGUCCCUGUCUCUUAUA
This 301-nucleotide ribosomal RNA is filed under the name uncultured bacterium. RNAcentral describes it as "partial 16S ribosomal RNA". It matches the Rfam family "Bacterial small subunit ribosomal RNA", at positions 509 to 808 of the family's 1533-position model. The record is from RNAcentral.